Molecule: ribosomal RNA, 1440 nt
Filed under: uncultured organism
Description: 16S ribosomal RNA
Rfam family: Bacterial small subunit ribosomal RNA
Source: RNAcentral
CAGGCUUAACACAUGCAAGUCGAGGGGCAGCAUGGUCUUAGCUUGCUAAGACUGAUGGCGACCGGCGCACGGGUGAGUAACACGUAUCCAACCUGCCGUCUACUCUUGGACAGCCUUCUGAAAGGAAGAUUAAUACAAGAUGGCAUCAUGAGUCCGCAUGUUCACAUGAUUAAAGGUAUUCCGGUAGACGAUGGGGAUGCGUUCCAUUAGAUAGUAGGCGGGGUAACGGCCCACCUAGUCUUCGAUGGAUAGGGGUUCUGAGAGGAAGGUCCCCCACAUUGGAACUGAGACACGGUCCAAACUCCUACGGGAGGCAGCAGUGAGGAAUAUUGGUCAAUGGGCGAGAGCCUGAACCAGCCAAGUAGCGUGAAGGAUGACUGCCCUAUGGGUUGUAAACUUCUUUUAUAAAGGAAUAAAGUCGGGUAUGCAUACCCGUUUGCAUGUACUUUAUGAAUAAGGAUCGGCUAACUCCGUGCCAGCAGCCGCGGUAAUACGGAGGAUCCGAGCGUUAUCCGGAUUUAUUGGGUUUAAAGGGAGCGUAGAUGGAUGUUUAAGUCAGUUGUGAAAGUUUGCGGCUCAACCGUAAAAUUGCAGUUGAUACUGGAUAUCUUGAGUGCAGUUGAGGCAGGCGGAAUUCGUGGUGUAGCGGUGAAAUACUUAGAUAUCACGAAGAACUCCGAUUGCGAAGGCAGCCUGCUAAGCUGCAACUGACAUUGAGGCUCGAAAGUGUGGGUAUCAAACAGGAUUAGAUACCCUGGUAGUCCACACGGUAAACGAUGAAUACUCGCUGUUUGCGAUAUACUGCAAGCGGCCAAGCGAAAGCGUUAAGUAUUCCACCUGGGGAGUACGCCGGCAACGGUGAAACUCAAAGGAAUUGACGGGGGCCCGCACAAGCGGAGGAACAUGUGGUUUAAUUCGAUGAUACGCGAGGAACCUUACCCGGGCUUAAAUUGCAGAUGAAUUACGGUGAAAGCCGUAAGCCGCAAGGCAUCUGUGAAGGUGCUGCAUGGUUGUCGUCAGCUCGUGCCGUGAGGUGUCGGCUUAAGUGCCAUAACGAGCGCAACCCUUGUUGUCAGUUACUAACAGGUUCCGCUGAGGACUCUGACAAGACUGCCAUCGUAAGAUGUGAGGAAGGUGGGGAUGACGUCAAAUCAGCACGGCCCUUACGUCCGGGGCUACACACGUGUUACAAUGGGGGGUACAGAGGGCCGCUACCACGCGAGUGGAUGCCAAUCCCCAAAACCUCUCUCAGUUCGGACUGGAGUCUGCAACCCGACUCCACGAAGCUGGAUUCGCUAGUAAUCGCGCAUCAGCCACGGCGCGGUGAAUACGUUCCCGGGCCUUGUACACACCGCCCGUCAAGCCAUGGGAGCCGGGGGUACCUGAAGUGCGUAACCGCGAGGAGCGCCCUAGGGUAAAACUGGUGACUGGGGCUAAGUC